GAACAGCUCUUCGAGUGGGACUUGUGGGCGUACGUGAGCUUUAACCGGCCUCGUUGUUUGCGAUGUUUGUGCUUUUUGGGUGUACUUUUUCGUAUGGUAGGCCAACGUCAGUCUCGGUCACCAUAAAAUGAUUAGAGGAAUGUAGCUUCGAUCUUGUAUUGAAGUGUUAUAGCCUCUGGUAGAUGUGGUGAACGAAACUGAGGAUUGCAACGAAUACCCUUCGGGCUAUCCGUCUGACCUCUGAAAGUUGCUUGGGUGCCGAAAGCUUGCUUACGGUCAUUCAUGAUGACGGUCAAAAGGUUAGAACGUGAUUACAUUCGUUAAGGACGUUGGCGUA
RNAcentral lists this ribosomal RNA (337 nucleotides) under uncultured Glomeromycotina. RNAcentral describes it as "eukaryotic LSU rRNA". Lineage: Eukaryota; Fungi; Glomeromycota. The record is from RNAcentral.